CCGGAAACGUGGAGAGAUGACCAGGAGCCUGCCAAUGCGGCAAGUGAACAGAGAUUAGCCCAUCACCGAAUCUAUCUGCUUUUGUGGACAGGACAAUGUGGUGUUUAGGUGUGUACCUGGGAGCGCUUGCCUACCCGAAGUCCAUCUCCGAUUCUGGCUUGGACUAUGCCCAUAGCGGGUGAAAGGCCCGUUCGGGUAGGCCGUGUUGCAAUAAGCGAUCCUCAGAUGUGCAUACCGUCGAGUCGGAUUGCUUGAGAAUGCAGUCCAAAGUGGGUGGUAAACUCCAUCCAAGGCUAAAUACUGGCACGAGUCCGAUAGUAGACAAGUACCGUGAGGGAAAGUUGAAAAGUACUCUGAAGAGAGGGGGGGAG
RNAcentral lists this ribosomal RNA (371 nucleotides) under Dactylogyrus subtilis. Its description in RNAcentral is "eukaryotic LSU rRNA". It matches the Rfam family "Eukaryotic large subunit ribosomal RNA", at positions 48 to 393 of the family's 3401-position model. Lineage: Eukaryota; Metazoa; Platyhelminthes; Monogenea; Dactylogyridea; Dactylogyridae. The record is from RNAcentral.